RNAcentral lists this long non-coding RNA (159 nucleotides) under Mustela putorius furo (domestic ferret). RNAcentral describes it as "lncRNA (ENSMPUG00000028254.1)". The record is from RNAcentral. Lineage: Eukaryota; Metazoa; Chordata; Mammalia; Carnivora; Mustelidae.
GUGGAUCCCAGCCCAGCAGUAACGUGGGGUGCCGUGUGAACGCUCUUUCUUGCCCUGGAGACUCAAUGAUUUUAUGUCUGAAGGUUCAUAAGUCACAAGAUAUCUGGAAUUAGGUGGUAAGUCUUUUUCUUUCUUUAGUGGGAGCCUAUAAAACCUCAG